RNAcentral lists this ribosomal RNA (768 nucleotides) under uncultured bacterium. Its description in RNAcentral is "bacterial SSU rRNA". It matches the Rfam family "Bacterial small subunit ribosomal RNA", at positions 28 to 809 of the family's 1533-position model. The record is from RNAcentral.
GACGAACGCUGGCGGCGUGCCUAACACAUGCAAGUCGAACGAAGCAUUAAGAGCUUGCUUUUGAUGCUUAGUGGCGGACGGGUGAGUAACGCGUGAGCAACCUGCCUUUCAGAGGGGGAUAACGUUUGGAAACGAACGCUAAUACCGCAUAACAUAUUUGAAUCACAUGGUUUGAAUAUCAAAGGAGCAAUCCACUGAAAGAUGGGCUCGCGUCCGAUUAGCUAGUUGGUGAGAUAACAGCCCACCAAGGCGACGAUCGGUAGCCGGACUGAGAGGUCGAACGGCCACAUUGGGACUGAGACACGGCCCAGACUCCUACGGGAGGCAGCAGUGGGGGAUAUUGCACAAUGGAGGAAACUCUGAUGCAGCAACGCCGCGUGAGGGAAGAAGGAUUUCGGUUUGUAAACCUCUGUCAUUGGUGACGAUAAUGACGGUAGCCAAUGAGGAAGCUCCGGCUAACUACGUGCCAGCAGCCGCGGUAAUACGUAGGGAGCGAGCGUUGUCCGGAAUUACUGGGUGUAAAGGGUGCGUAGGCGGGGGACCAAGUCAGGUGUGAAAACUAUCGGCUCAACCGAUAGCCUGCAUUUGAAACUGGUUCUCUUGAGUGAAGUAGAGGCAGGCGGAAUUCCCGGUGUAGCGGUGAAAUGCGUAGAGAUCGAGAGGAACACCAGUGGCGAAGGCGGUCUGCUGGGCUUUAACUGACGCUGAGGCACGAAAGCAUGGGUAGCAAACAGGAUUAGAUACCCUGGUAGUCCAUGCUGUAAACGC